RNAcentral lists this ribosomal RNA (252 nucleotides) under uncultured bacterium. RNAcentral describes it as "partial 16S ribosomal RNA". It matches the Rfam family "Bacterial small subunit ribosomal RNA", at positions 525 to 776 of the family's 1533-position model. The record is from RNAcentral.
ACGUAGGUGGCAAGCGUUAUCCGGAUUUAUUGGGCGUAAAGCGAGCGCAGGCGGUUUCUUAAGUCUGAUGUGAAAGCCUUCGGCUUAACUGAAGAAGUGCAUCGGAAACUGGGAAACUUGAGUACAGAAGAGGACAGUGGAACUCCAUGUGUAGCGGUGAAAUGCGUAGAUAUAUGGAAGAACACCAGUGGCGAAGGCGGCUGUCUGGUCUGCAACUGACGCUGAGGCUCGAAAGCAUGGGUAGCAAACAGG